AUCUCUAACAUCUGUGUUGUUUUCGGCACCAUUUCAGACAGCUCGCUGAAGCGCUGCACCUUCCAUCUACAGGCAGACACCUCAUGGACCUGGUGACAUCAGGAUGCAGCAACAUGAGGAAGGUAUCACGAGGGAAAUUGUUUUGGCCUCAGCAUACCUUCCUUAUGAAGAAAGCUCUCCUUCUUCUUUGGAGGUGCUCCUGGAGCUAGCUGUGCAGUGGAGAAAGACUAUCUUAAGAAAAAACCAUAUCACAAAUAGCCACAGUCUACUAUACAGUGCAUCACACCAUGACGGAUACCUUCAUGAUGAAGUUCUAUGACAAUGGUCAGUGAUGAUCUAGGAGAGUAAAAUGAAGAAGGAUUCUGAAAAUUACCUUAGAUCAGUUCAGUAACAUUUGUAUUACAAACAAGUUGAAACUUGAGUUGUGAAUUAAAGUCAGUCUGUAAUCUGGCAAAUAAAACCAGAUGACAUUCCACCACCACUCGAAUAGUUCUUUGUAAAAAGCAAUUUUCAGGAAGAACUUCUAGAUGUAGUGGAGAGUUCUGCCAGCUGAAAGUAAAAGUGUGUAUCUAGAUAGCAGAAUCCUUGCAGUAUAUGAAUACUACUACGUACAAACGAGUAGCCAUCUAAUGUCGUUAACAUAAAAGUUCU
Molecule: long non-coding RNA, 651 nt
Organism: Schistocerca gregaria
Lineage: Eukaryota; Metazoa; Arthropoda; Insecta; Orthoptera; Acrididae
Exons: 3
Source: RefSeq, a predicted model, not a curated record